This 52-nucleotide transfer RNA is filed under the name Rhabdomys pumilio (four-striped grass mouse). RNAcentral's name for it is "partial tRNA-Pro". The record is from RNAcentral. Lineage: Eukaryota; Metazoa; Chordata; Mammalia; Rodentia; Muridae.
CAAGAAGUAGUUUAGUUAGAACGUCAGCUUUGGGUGCGAAUGGGUGGGGAAA